GGGUUGUGAGGUUAAGCGACUAAGCGUACACGGUGGAUGCCCUGGCAGUCAGAGGCGAUGAAGGGCGUGCUAAUCUGCGAUAAGCGCCGGUAAGGUGAUAUGAACCGUUAUAACCGGCGAUACCCGAAUGGGGAAACCCAGUGUGACUCGUCACACUAUCAUUAACUGAAUCCAUAGGUUAAUGAGGCGAACCGGGGGAACUGAAACAUCUAAGUACCCCGAGGAAAAGAAAUCAACCGAGAUUCCCCCAGUAGCGGCGAGCGAACGGGGAGGAGCCCAGAGCCUGAAUCAGCAUGUGUGUUAGUGGAAGCGUCUGGAAAGGCGCGCGAUACAGGGUGACAGCCCCGUACACAAAAGCGCAUGUGCUGUGAGCUCGAUGAGUAGGGCGGGACACGUGGUAUCCUGUCUGAAUAUGGGGGGACCAUCCUCCAAGGCUAAAUACUCCUGACUGACCGAUAGUGAACCAGUACCGUGAGGGAAAGGCGAAAAGAACCCCGGCGAGGGGAGUGAAAAAGAACCUGAAACCGUGUACGUACAAGCAGUGGGAGCACAGGUUUACCUGUGUGACUGCGUACCUUUUGUAUAAUGGGUCAGCGACUUAUAUUCUGUAGCAAGGUUAACCGAAUAGGGGAGCCGGAGGGAAACCGAGUCUUAAUUGGGCGUUAAGUUGCAGGGUAUAGACCCGAAACCCGGUGAUCUAGCCAUGGGCAGGUUGAAGGUUGGGUAACACUAACUGGAGGACCGAACCGACUAAUGUUGAAAAAUUAGCGGAUGACCUGUGGCUGGGGGUGAAAGGCCAAUCAAACCGGGAGAUAGCUGGUUCUCCCCGAAAGCUAUUUAGGUAGCGCCUCGUGAAUUCAUCUCCGGGGGUAGAGCACUGUUUCGGCUAGGGGGCCAUCCCGGCUUACCAACCCGAUGCAAACUGCGAAUACCGGAGAAUGUUAUCACGGGAGACACACGGCGGGUGCUAACGUCCGUCGUGAAGAGGGAAACAACCCAGACCGCCAGCUAAGGUCCCAAAGUCAUGGUUAAGUGGGAAACGAUGUGGGAAGGCCCAGACAGCCAGGAUGUUGGCUUAGAAGCAGCCAUCAUUUAAAGAAAGCGUAAUAGCUCACUGGUCGAGUCGGCCUGCGCGGAAGAUGUAACGGGGCUAAACCAUGCACCGAAGCUGCGGCAGCGACGCUUAUGCGUUGUUGGGUAGGGGAGCGUUCUGUAAGCCUGUGAAGGUGGCCUGUGAGGGUUGCUGGAGGUAUCAGAAGUGCGAAUGCUGACAUAAGUAACGAUAAAGCGGGUGAAAAGCCCGCUCGCCGGAAGACCAAGGGUUCCUGUCCAACGUUAAUCGGGGCAGGGUGAGUCGACCCCUAAGGCGAGGCCGAAAGGCGUAGUCGAUGGGAAACGGGUUAAUAUUCCCGUACUUGGUGUUACUGCGAAGGGGGGACGGAGAAGGCUAUGUUGGCCGGGCGACGGUUGUCCCGGUUUAAGCGUGUAGGUGUGUGUUCCAGGUAAAUCCGGUUCACUUUAACACUGAGGCGUGACGACGAGGCACUACGGUGCUGAAGCAACAAAUGCCCUGCUUCCAGGAAAAGCCUCUAAGCAUCAGGUAACAUCAAAUCGUACCCCAAACCGACACAGGUGGUCAGGUAGAGAAUACCAAGGCGCUUGAGAGAACUCGGGUGAAGGAACUAGGCAAAAUGGUGCCGUAACUUCGGGAGAAGGCACGCUGACAUGUAGGUGAAGUGAUUUACUCACGGAGCUGAAGUCAGUCGAAGAUACCAGCUGGCUGCAACUGUUUAUUAAAAACACAGCACUGUGCAAACACGAAAGUGGACGUAUACGGUGUGACGCCUGCCCGGUGCCGGAAGGUUAAUUGAUGGGGUCAGCGCAAGCGAAGCUCCUGAUCGAAGCCCCGGUAAACGGCGGCCGUAACUAUAACGGUCCUAAGGUAGCGAAAUUCCUUGUCGGGUAAGUUCCGACCUGCACGAAUGGCGUAAUGAUGGCCAGGCUGUCUCCACCCGAGACUCAGUGAAAUUGAACUCGCUGUGAAGAUGCAGUGUACCCGCGGCAAGACGGAAAGACCCCGUGAACCUUUACUAUAGCUUGACACUGAACAUUGAGCCUUGAUGUGUAGGAUAGGUGGGAGGCUUUGAAGUGUGGACGCCAGUCUGCAUGGAGCCGACCUUGAAAUACCACCCUUUAAUGUUUGAUGUUCUAACGUGGACCCGUAAUCCGGGUUGCGGACAGUGUCUGGUGGGUAGUUUGACUGGGGCGGUCUCCUCCUAAAGAGUAACGGAGGAGCACGAAGGUUGGCUAAUCCUGGUCGGACAUCAGGAGGUUAGUGCAAUGGCAUAAGCCAGCUUGACUGCGAGCGUGACGGCGCGAGCAGGUGCGAAAGCAGGUCAUAGUGAUCCGGUGGUUCUGAAUGGAAGGGCCAUCGCUCAACGGAUAAAAGGUACUCCGGGGAUAACAGGCUGAUACCGCCCAAGAGUUCAUAUCGACGGCGGUGUUUGGCACCUCGAUGUCGGCUCAUCACAUCCUGGGGCUGAAGUAGGUCCCAAGGGUAUGGCUGUUCGCCAUUUAAAGUGGUACGCGAGCUGGGUUUAGAACGUCGUGAGACAGUUCGGUCCCUAUCUGCCGUGGGCGCUGGAGAACUGAGGGGGGCUGCUCCUAGUACGAGAGGACCGGAGUGGACGCAUCACUGGUGUUCGGGUUGUCAUGCCAAUGGCACUGCCCGGUAGCUAAAUGCGGAAGAGAUAAGUGCUGAAAGCAUCUAAGCACGAAACUUGCCCCGAGAUGAGUUCUCCCUGAGACUUAGAGUCUCCUGAAGGAACGUUGAAGACGACGACGUUGAUAGGCCGGGUGUGUAAGCGCAGCGAUGCGUUGAGCUAACCGGUACUAAUGAACCGUGAGGCUUAACCUUACAACGCCGAAG
Molecule: ribosomal RNA, 2929 nt
Filed under: Salmonella enterica subsp. enterica serovar Kentucky
Lineage: Bacteria; Pseudomonadati; Pseudomonadota; Gammaproteobacteria; Enterobacterales; Enterobacteriaceae
Description: 23S ribosomal RNA
Rfam family: Bacterial large subunit ribosomal RNA
Source: RNAcentral